Manihot esculenta (cassava) is the source of this 1429-nucleotide RNA transcript. It is a transcript of the gene named calcineurin B-like protein 7, with no coding region annotated. NCBI's taxonomy places the organism in Eukaryota, Viridiplantae, Streptophyta, Magnoliopsida, Malpighiales, Euphorbiaceae. The record is from RefSeq and is a predicted model, not a curated record. The transcript is spliced from 10 exons.
UAAAAAAAAAAAAAAAAGCGGUUUCUUAAAUUAUUCCAUCAAUUUGUAAGCAAGCGAAUCCAAGCUGAGAAAGCUAAGUCUCAAACAGACAUCUAAUCUUUAUUUUCCUUCUUUCUUGCUUUAAACACUCUAGCUCUCCAAUUUAUUCGGUCAAUUUUCCUCAGGAUACUCCCACUUUCAAGAAAGGCUGGAUUUUCAAGUGCUACAGCGGGCAUGACCCUAUUGAUUUUCAGAAACUAUCGGGAUUGAAUCAUGUUACUUGCUUUCAGAGGUUGCUUUUGCUUAAAGAGAUCUAAAAAAACACCCGGAUAUGAAGAACCCACUGUUCUUGCAGCUGAAACACCUUUUACAGUUAAUGAAGUAGAGGCCUUGUAUGAGCUUUUUAAGAAAUUAAGCAAUUCAAUAAUUAAUGAUGGGCUUAUUCAUAAGGAAGAAUUUCAGCUUGCACUCUUCCAGAACACAAAUAAAAGGAAUCUCUUUGCAGACAGGAUCUUUGAUUUGUUUGAUAUCAAGUGCAAUGGAGUAAUUGAAUUUGGAGAAUUUGUUCGAUCAUUGGGCAUCUUUCAUCCCAAUGCUCCUGUGGAAGACAAGAUAGGGUUUGCUUUCAGAUUAUAUGACCUAAGGCAAACUGGUUGUAUCGAACGAGAUGAGUUGAAGGAAAUGGUGUUGGCACUUCUGAAUGAAUCAGAGUUGGUUCUGUCAGAUGAUGUCAUUGAGAUGAUUGUAGAUAAGACUUGGAAGGAUGCAGACACAAAUUGUGAUGGGAAAAUUGAUCUGGAAGAGUGGAAGGAUUUUGUGUCAAAAAAUCCAUCUCUUUUGAAGAACAUGACUCUACCAUAUUUAAAGGAUAUAACAAUGGCAUUUCCCAGCUUUGUGCAAUAUUCUGAAAUUGAAGAUUCAGAAGUCUAAGUCUUGGAAAGGUUCUUAAAUCAUUAUGAUGGUGUGCGUGGUAGUCUAAUGAGCGUAAAUGCGUGGACUAGAAAACUUGAGUUUAGAUGAUCCUCUCCCUCACCAACAACUUAAUGGGGCCAAGAUCCAGUCUACAUGUCAACUUCUCAACAUGUUCUUCCAAUGGGAGCAUGGUAAAGAUUAGAUAAGCUCGUACAUUCCAUAAAAGUUGGCGAAAUUUUGUUCCUUAUUAGAAGCAGAAACCAGUGAAUAGUGUGAACUACAAUGUGAGGCUGGAGCAGAGCAGACAGUGAUAGUGCAUGAAAAGGAAGAAUGAAAAAGCUCUAUGCUUAAAAACCUACUUACAGUCUGAUCUGUAAGGGGUUCCAGAAUCUGUAUGGAUUUAAGGAGAAAGAGAUUUGGAUAAUGGGAGGUUUAGAGAAAAGUAUGUUUUCUGUUCUGCCCCACAAGAGAAAACAAUUGAAAGCAACCUCUUUUUUGCUUUUUCUGAAAGUGUGCCCCAUAAAAGAUACACGUGUAC